UACAUCCUACGGGGCGCAGCAGUGGGGGAUAUUGCACAAUGGGGGGAACCCUGAUGCAGCGACGCCGCGUGGGUGAAGGAGCGUUUCGGCGCGUAAAGCCCUAUCGGCAGGGAAGAAGAUGACGGUACCUGACCAAGAAGCCCCGGCUAACUACGUGCCCGCAGCCGCGGUAAUACGUAGGGGGCAAGCGUUAUCCGGAUUUACUGGGUUUAAAGGGGGCGCAGACGGCAAUGCAAGCCAGGAGUUAAAGCCCGGAGCCCAACCCCGGGACUGCUCUUGGAACUGCAUGG
This 290-nucleotide ribosomal RNA is filed under the name uncultured bacterium. Its description in RNAcentral is "partial 16S ribosomal RNA". It matches the Rfam family "Bacterial small subunit ribosomal RNA", at positions 333 to 640 of the family's 1533-position model. The record is from RNAcentral.